UGCGGGGUGGUGUAAUCGGUAACACGCCGGGCUCAUAACCCGAACGCUGCGGGUUCGACUCCCGCUCCCGCUA
This 73-nucleotide transfer RNA is filed under the name Myxococcales bacterium. Its description in RNAcentral is "tRNA-Met". It matches the Rfam family "tRNA". Rfam says of the family: Transfer RNA (tRNA) molecules are approximately 80 nucleotides in length. Their secondary structure includes four short double-helical elements and three loops (D, anti-codon, and T loops). Further hydrogen bonds mediate the characteristic L-shaped molecular structure. tRNAs have two regions of fundamental functional importance: the anti-codon, which is responsible for specific mRNA codon recognition, and the 3' end, to which the tRNAs corresponding amino acid is attached (by aminoacyl-tRNA synthetases). tRNAs cope with the degeneracy of the genetic code in two manners: having more than one tRNA (with a specific anti-codon) for a particular amino acid; and 'wobble' base-pairing, i.e. permitting non-standard base-pairing at the 3rd anti-codon position. Lineage: Bacteria; Pseudomonadati; Myxococcota; Myxococcia; Myxococcales. The record is from RNAcentral.